Molecule: ribosomal RNA, 117 nt
Filed under: Danio rerio (zebrafish)
Lineage: Eukaryota; Metazoa; Chordata; Actinopteri; Cypriniformes; Danionidae
Source: RNAcentral
CUUUGGAGCCAUGUCACCCUGCAGCCCAAGACUGGUUACUCACUGAAGCUAAGCAGGGCUGAGCCUGGUCAGUACCUGGCUGGGAGACCACUAGGGAACACUAGGUUGCUUUUGGAA